RNAcentral lists this ribosomal RNA (447 nucleotides) under uncultured bacterium. Its description in RNAcentral is "partial 16S ribosomal RNA". It matches the Rfam family "Bacterial small subunit ribosomal RNA", at positions 330 to 793 of the family's 1533-position model. The record is from RNAcentral.
UCCAGACUCCUACGGGAGGCAGCAGUGGGGAAUAUUGCACAAUGGGGGAAGCCCUGAUGCAGCGACGCCGCGUGAAGGAAGAAGUAUUUCGGUAUGUAAACUUCUAUCAGCAGGGAAGAAAAUGACGGUACCUGACUAAGAAGCCCCGGCUAACUACGUGCCAGCAGCCGCGGUAAUACGUAGGGGGCAAGCGUUAUCCGGAUUUACUGGGUGUAAAGGGAGCGUAGGCGGUGCAGCAAGUCAGAAGUGAAAGCCCGGGGCUCAACUCCGGGACUGCUUUUGAAACUGUUGAACUAGAUUGCAGGAGAGGUAAGUGGAAUUCCUAGUGUAGCGGUGAAAUGCGUAGAUAUUAGGAGGAACACCAGUGGCGAAGGCGACUUUCUGGACUGUACCUGACGCUGAGGCGCGAAAGCGUGGGUAGCGAACGGGAUUAGAUACCCGUGUACG